UGCGUAGGAAUGUGGUUAACGGCCAGAUGUCUGACAGUUCUCCGACUUCUGGGCAUUCCACGUAGGACGCUUUCUCAUGAGUGUCUGAAACCGUCAGUUCACUGCCAGAAAUGGAGAUACAUGUUUCCUGAUAAACUGGCACUUGCCUUUUCAAAGCCACCAUUUCCUCUAUCCUCUGGGCUGUCACAAAUCCUCCUCUGCACCUCAGGAGUGCCCCUUGGAGCCACGUUCACCACUUCUCUGCCCCUGACCCAGGCUGGUUCCCAGGCCUUGGGGUCCUAGCGUGGACCUCCUGGAAGUAAUUAAUGCAGUUUUCCAGAUUAACUCGAAGUACCCCACGACUAAACGCUAAUGAAACUAGAGGAGGCACAGCUUCAGCUCCGUGCAGGAUGGAUGCACAAGAGCAGAAUCUCCAUGGGACGCCUUUCUGGAGCAUCAGUAUUACUGCAGGAUUUGGAAGAAACAAAUUCAAAUAAUUUCCAAAGUAAGACACUGGAAAUUUAAGAGGAAGCUGGAAACUCAUCUGCCUUUAAUACUUUUUUUUCUCCAAGAAAAAAAAAGAAACUCUAAGGAGAACCUAUUUUUCACUCUUCUAAGUAGUUAAAAUUAGAAAUCACAGCAAGUCAAUAGAAAGCUCUGCCUUGCCAGUCUCCUAAAUCACAAUAUGGCCUUGGUAUGGUUUUAUUUAUAUUUUUUGGACGGGUUUGUUGACAUGUUGGGUAUAAAAACUGGGGGGUUUGACCAAUUUUUGGAAGUUUUUAGCUAUUAGUUGGUGAUUUACUUUGUACCUCAUUUAAUUUUUCUGUCCCCUCUCCAACUUGGACUCAAUCACUCUACAGGUCUCUAAGACUCUUCAUUUUCUUUAAGCUUUUUCUCUCUUUUAUUCAGAAUGGGCAAUUUCUAUUGCUCUGUCUUCUGUUUCUAAUCUUUGAAUAAGCUCAAAAGUAUUUCUUUUAAUUUCCUUAUCUUCCUAUUGUUUCAUAAUUUCCAUUUCUUUGCUUAGGUUCCACAUCUCUUAAAAUAUUUUCCUUUACCCCCAUGAACAGAUUUAUAAUAGCUGCCUUUAAACAUCCUGAAUUAGAACACCUUGAAUAUCUUAGGAUCACUUCUACUGCCUGCUUUUUAAAUUGUGUAUGGAUCUCAUUUUCGUGUUUCCUCACACGUCUCAUGAAUUUUAAAGUUGUGUACUAAAACUGUAAAGAAUCAUUAUAGAGACUCUCAA
This is a long non-coding RNA of Homo sapiens (human), 1222 nucleotides long. Lineage: Eukaryota; Metazoa; Chordata; Mammalia; Primates; Hominidae. The record is from Ensembl.